UACGUAGGGUGCAAGCGUUGUCCGGAAUUAUUGGGCGUAAAGAGCUCGUAGGCGGUUUGUCGCGUCUGCUGUGAAAACUCGGGGCUUAACUCCGGGCCUGCAGUGGGUACGGGCAGACUAGAGUGCGGUAGGGGAGACUGGAAUUCCUGGUGUAGCGGUGAAAUGCGCAGAUAUCAGGAGGAACACCAGUGGCGAAGGCGGCUCACUGGCCCGAUACUGACGCUGAGGCACGAAAGCGUGGGGAGCAAACAGG
Molecule: ribosomal RNA, 253 nt
Filed under: uncultured bacterium
Lineage: Bacteria
Description: partial 16S ribosomal RNA
Rfam family: Bacterial small subunit ribosomal RNA
Source: RNAcentral